This 301-nucleotide ribosomal RNA is filed under the name uncultured bacterium. RNAcentral's name for it is "partial 16S ribosomal RNA". It matches the Rfam family "Bacterial small subunit ribosomal RNA", at positions 509 to 809 of the family's 1533-position model. The record is from RNAcentral.
CAGUAGCCACGGUAAUACGAAGGGUGCAAGCGUUACUCGGAAUUACUGGGCGUAAAGCGUGCGUAGGUGGUGGUUUAAGUCCGUUGUGAAAGCCCUGGGCUCAACCUGGGAAUUGCAGUGGAUACUGGGUCACUAGAGUGUGGUAGAGGAUAGUGGAAUUUCCGGUGUAGCAGUGAAAUGCGUAGAGAUCGGAAGGAACAUCUGUGGCGAAGGCGACUAUCUGGGCCAACACUGACACUGAGGCACGAAAGCGUGGGGAGCAAACAGGAUUAGAUACCCCCGUAGUCCCUGUCUCUUAUAA